GAAGUACUCCCUUCGUCCAAAAUUACUUGUCGCGGGAAUGGAUAGAAAUGGAUGUAUCUAGACUAAAAAUAUGUCUAGAUACAUCCAUUUCCGUGCCAAGUAAUUCGGGAUGUUGGGAAUACGAG
Molecule: non-coding RNA, 125 nt
Organism: Hordeum vulgare subsp. vulgare (domesticated barley)
Lineage: Eukaryota; Viridiplantae; Streptophyta; Magnoliopsida; Poales; Poaceae
Source: Rfam